Long non-coding RNA from Leopardus geoffroyi (Geoffroy's cat), 1679 nucleotides. RefSeq lists it as uncharacterized. Lineage: Eukaryota; Metazoa; Chordata; Mammalia; Carnivora; Felidae. The transcript has 3 exons. The record is from RefSeq and is a predicted model, not a curated record.
CGCCCACCAGGUGCUUGACAUGGCAUGACGUAUGUACUCGGCAAUAUCUAUUGAAUGCUUGAGACUCCUGAGGGUUUCUUUAGGGGAAAGUGGGAGUGAACUUAGGCCAAAUCAUCAUAGUCAACAGAAAACGAGGGGGGGGGGGGAAGGGAUGGGAAGGAAUUAAACCAAAUGCUUAGGAAACCUUCUCUCUCUGGACAAAGGGAUCUCCUCCAGGAGCAGGGUCAGAAUUUCUCUGAGGCCUGGUGCCCCUACCCUGAGAUGGUAGGCCUGGACCAGGUAAGGGUCCUGCUUUGUUUACACAUAAAAACAUCAAAGGUCAGCAAUGUUGCCAUGUGAGCAGAAGUGGCCUGAUUUAGCAUCAUGAAACAUGUACACUUUGGGGGGUAACUUUCCAUAGGGUCCUCACAUCCUAAGAGGGCACCCAGGAGUCCAGAGGUGGGGCUUGGAGGCUAGGGGUGUCGAUGACAGAAUUUGCCUAGGGAGGCACGGUGAGAAAACCCAGCUGUUUUCCUCACAAUCCCAUCUACCGAGCAGCCUUGAGCCACCGGGUUUUCCUGGAAAACUAGGCAUAGCCAUCUUAGAGCAUGGCGUGCUUUCUAGUUGUCGGAACCAGCAAGUGGGAGAGGUUUUGAUCUCGAAGUUUCAGCCCAAAGAGGAAUUUGCCUCUCCUUCCAAUCCCCUCCGCCCCCAUCCGAUUUUUGUGAAGCAAACAGUUCUCUCAGAGGAGAAGUCCCACUGUUCUCUUCCCUCUUCUUCCCCCAACUUAAUUCUUGGCCCUUCUGGGAGGCAGGGCAGGCUCGGUGGCGCCCAGGCCUCCCGCUUCUGGGUGCUGAAGACAACCACCACCGAUAACAUCAGUUGGAGCCCAGCUCUGCUUAAGCAGCCAACGCGCGCUCAAACUUCGAUCUUACCGGAAAAUGGCACGAAUUCCUACACGGCUUUGGAGGCAGCGGAGCCACUAGGAGUGGGAACCUGCCAGUCCCCAUCCCACCUUUGCACGGAGGACAUGAGCAGACAGGCCCAGGAGGCGGUGGAAGCCAGAAGUCAGCUUCAGAACGGACACCAGUUGGUACCCCCUUCUCCCACGGGCAGCCUCCCACCCUGGGCCUCUGCCUCGACUCCCUCCGCCCCGGCUCGCAGUGCACCGUGUAAGGUGGCGUCAGGGAUUGAAACCUGGGCUUCUCACCGCCAUCUGCCAACCCCAGCUCGGGCCCAGGGCCCCAUUCCGUGCCCUGUCCGAGGCGUGAAUGGAAAGCAGCAGUGGACAGAGGUUCAGCCCACCGCACCUGUUCCAUCUCCGGUCCUGACUGGGAAAGGCGGCACCGGGCACCCGAGUGGCACAAGUGCCAGGUCCACACUGUCUUGACCCUUUCUCCAGAGGAGGAGGACAGCAAUGGGGGAAAGGCCCUGGCAGGGUGACCUCCCCGCUCCUGCCCCAGAGGAAGCAGUGACAAUCUGGGCCAAGCAGAAAGGCUUUUCUGACUUCCCGGACACGAGUGCCAUGGAAUAACAGUCACCGAUUUCAGGAUACCUUCCUCAAUCCCUACUCUUAAGAGGCAUUAUCUCCCUUCACAAUCACCCCGCAAGGAACAGACAUGCCUUGGAAUAUGUCUCUGGUGUUAUGGAUGAAGAAACUGAAAGACGCCUGGCUGGCUCAGUUACUAACGCACGUGACU